RNAcentral lists this ribosomal RNA (464 nucleotides) under Listeria monocytogenes. RNAcentral describes it as "bacterial SSU rRNA". It matches the Rfam family "Bacterial small subunit ribosomal RNA", at positions 1 to 453 of the family's 1533-position model. Lineage: Bacteria; Bacillati; Bacillota; Bacilli; Caryophanales; Listeriaceae. The record is from RNAcentral.
UUUAAAGAGAGUUUGAUCCUGGCUCAGGACGAACGCUGGCGGCGUGCCUAAUACAUGCAAGUCGAACGAACGGAGGAAGAGCUUGCUCUUCCAAUGUUAGUGGCGGACGGGUGAGUAACACGUGGGCAACCUGCCUGUAAGUUGGGGAUAACUCCGGGAAACCGGGGCUAAUACCGAAUGAUAAAGUGUGGCGCAUGCCACGCUUUUGAAAGAUGGUUUCGGCUAUCGCUUACAGAUGGGCCCGCGGUGCAUUAGCUAGUUGGUAGGGUAAUGGCCUACCAAGGCAACGAUGCAUAGCCGACCUGAGAGGGUGAUCGGCCACACUGGGACUGAGACACGGCCCAGACUCCUACGGGAGGCAGCAGUAGGGAAUCUUCCGCAAUGGACGAAAGUCUGACGGAGCAACGCCGCGUGUAUGAAGAAGGUUUUCGGAUCGUAAAGUACUGUUGUUAGAGAAGAACAAG